UGUCGUGGCUGGAUUAGAGAUCGGCCAACGAUGUAUGUGUAACAACUUAACUUUUUAGGAGUUUAUUAUGUCUCUAAGUACAGAAGCAAAAGCAAAAAUUGUUGCUGAAUUCGGUCGUGAUGCA
Molecule: regulatory RNA element, 124 nt
Organism: Gallibacterium salpingitidis
Lineage: Bacteria; Pseudomonadati; Pseudomonadota; Gammaproteobacteria; Pasteurellales; Pasteurellaceae
Rfam family: Ribosomal S15 leader
About the family: The E. coli Ribosomal S15 gene 5' UTR can form two alternative structures. One that is a series of three hairpins, The other includes a pseudoknot.
Source: Rfam